GACGUAGGGUGCGAGCGUUGUCCGGAUUUAUUGGGCGUAAAGAGCUCGUAGGCGGCUCGUCGCGUCGUCCGUGAAAACCCGCGGCUUAACCGCGGGCUUGCGGUUGAUACGGGCGGGCUAGAGUUCGGUAGGGGAGACUGGAAUUCCUGGUGUAGCGGUGAAAUGCGCAGAUAUCAGGAGGAACACCGGUGGCGAAGGCGGGUCUCUGGGCAGUAACUGACGCUGAGGAGCGAAAGCGUGGGGAGCGAACAGG
RNAcentral lists this ribosomal RNA (253 nucleotides) under uncultured bacterium. RNAcentral describes it as "partial 16S ribosomal RNA". It matches the Rfam family "Bacterial small subunit ribosomal RNA", at positions 524 to 776 of the family's 1533-position model. The record is from RNAcentral.